UACGGAGGAUGCGAGCGUUAUCCGGAUGUAUUGGGUUUAAAGGGUGCGCAGGCGGCACGGCAAGCCGGCGGUCAAAUCGCGGGGCUCAACCCCGCCCAGCCGUCGGAACUGCCGGGCUAGAGUGGGCGAGAAGUGCGCGGAAUGCGUGGUGUAGCGGUGAAAUGCAUAGAUAUCACGCAGAACUCCGAUUGCGAAGGCAGCGCACCGGCGCCCUACUGACGCUCAGGCACGAAAGCGUGGGUAUCGAACAGG
RNAcentral lists this ribosomal RNA (252 nucleotides) under uncultured bacterium. RNAcentral's name for it is "partial 16S ribosomal RNA". It matches the Rfam family "Bacterial small subunit ribosomal RNA", at positions 524 to 776 of the family's 1533-position model. The record is from RNAcentral.